RNAcentral lists this ribosomal RNA (443 nucleotides) under uncultured bacterium. RNAcentral's name for it is "bacterial SSU rRNA". It matches the Rfam family "Bacterial small subunit ribosomal RNA", at positions 338 to 795 of the family's 1533-position model. The record is from RNAcentral.
CCUACGGGGGGCAGCAGUGGGGAAUAUUGCACAAUGGGGGGAACCCUGAUGCAGCGACGCCGCGUGAAGGAAGAAGGUCUUCGGAUCGUAAACUUCUAUCAGCAGGGAAGAAGGAAGUGACGGUACCUGACUAAGAAGCCCCGGCUAACUACGUGCCAGCAGCCGCGGUAAUACGUAGGGGGCAAGCGUUAUCCGGAAUCACUGGGUGUAAAGGGUGCGUAGGCGGUAGGGCAAGUGAGAUGUGAAAGCCCGGAGCUCAACUCCGGGAUUGCAUUUGAAACUGUUUUACUAGAGUGCAGGUGCGGGAAGCGGUAUUACCAAGUUAACGGUGAAAUGCGUUGAGAUUAGGAAGAACACCCGGGGGGAAAGCGGGCUUUUGGGCCGUAACUAACGCCGAGGGACGAAAGCGUGGGGAGCGAACAGGAUUAGAUACCCCAGUAGUC